CUAGAAAGCGCCCUCCAGUGCCUGCUCAUAGAAUGCGCCCUCCAGUGCCCCCUCCUCAAAUAUCUGCCCUCCCACCUGCUCCAGCCUCCUCCACUGCUGUCGCCUGGCAGCCCCUCUGCUUACCCUCAGCCCUCCAUCAUAGGAACCACCAGCACAAACAGAUAAAGUUACCUUACAAAGAUAGCCAUCUGUCUUGUUUACAUUGUGCAUACCACUUUUUUCUGAUUCAAACAUAUAUGGGUUAAUUAAAACAAUAUUUCAGUAUACAGUCUAUGAUCAGGAGGCGCUGGUCGGUGUGACUGAGUGGAGGCAGGGAUAAUUUGCAUAUUCAUAGAUCCGUGUAGAGUAAAUGAAGAAAGGGUGCAGAGUUUCAUUCAAGCUAUUUUGAGGCAUGAGAAUUUUCAAAAGAAAAACAUUUAAAUAUGUCAUUUUGAUGAUCAAAGAUGAGUUUUAAGGGUUACAUGUUUUGACUACGGGGGACUUUAAAGUUCUUUGCCAUCCUAAUAAGAGCGCUGCAUAUGGAGCAGCAAGAAUUUCUAAUAUUGGUGUUUGGGCACUUUAUAGUGGUUUGUUCAAACAACACCAUUAUUGUGAUUGGAGUGUGGAAUGUUAGAAAUAACCAUAAUUUAUAGCAGUAAUUAAUUUACUGCUAAGAGCCACAAAUGCAGAAUAAACUGUGAGCUGUAAUGUACUUAAUCGAGUAUCGUUACUGAAACUAAACAGAUGCCUGAUUUUAAGUGCCUAUGCGCAGUGGUCGUGCGAAUGGCUGGAGCCACGCGCAUCUGUAGACUAGCACAGAUUAAUUAUCACACUUUAAUAGUAUUUAUAUCUCCUAACAGGCUUGUGACUGAGGAAUAAUGACUACUUCAAAAUAUAAGUUGGUAUGCAGUUUUCCCUAUUGGUGUACGGCCUGAGAAUUGUCCCGCAAACAUUUCAGCAGUAUCAUAUGCAUCUCGUAUUUCUGUCAACUGAACCAGCCAUGCCAUUAAUUAUGAAUUUAUCAGUCUUUUUAAUUGGUGCUUUCACAAUCGAUUCGCAUUCGUUCGAACUGCUCUCUCACUGUUUCUCCGUUAGCACCAUCUCAUAUCAGUAGCAAGAUUGUCUGCACGCCAAAGUCAAUUUCUGCGUCUAAAUAUUAGGCCGAACAGAAACAGAAAAUCAUGCUAUAGCCCACGCACUUUCAUGAGAUCUGGAAAGCCUUCAACAAUUAAUUUGUAUUUUACAAAUAGGAAUACAACAAAUUCAUGAUGAUGUUUUAGAUUCAAGCUACCCGUAUGAAGUUAUUUAAAAUCAUCUGGAAUGCAAGUAUUUUUAAAGCUGUUUUUUAAAGCAUUUGCUGCAUUGAUUAAAAAUAUUAGGCUAAUAAAUAAUUCACAUAUCAGACAUUUGCGUAGCAGCAAAUUAUUUAAAUUUUAUGGUAUUCAGCAACAAAAAUCUGAAAUUAUAAGCAGCUAUACAAUUAUAGUACAAAGUUUUACAUAUGCCAUUAUAAUUUGUGGUUUAUUUUAUAAUUUGAUACAAUGAUAUUUGUUUAGGACUAUUUAUUUUAUUCCUUUUUAUACAUGUUGUUUUACUUUGUUUUUCUCCCUAUAGAAGCGCUGCAGGUGCGUAAUGUGUGAAUCCUUAUAGUUCUGGGCUGCGUUUCCCGAUAAAGCGGUCUUUUAGCGUACUAUAAGGCUCUUAAGUAUGCCUUAACUAAAAGGUAUACCAUUUCUAGGAAUGUUCCUCGAACUACAGUAGUCAACAUUUGAAGUGGAUCAAAAAGUUCAGAGUUAUCAUAAGAGCCAAGUUAUCCUAAAAAGAAGGUUUCAUGACAACUUUGGUGAAUGGUUUUGAUCCACUUCAAACGCUGACUACUAUAUACCUUUGGAG
Molecule: long non-coding RNA, 1872 nt
Organism: Cyprinus carpio carpio
Lineage: Eukaryota; Metazoa; Chordata; Actinopteri; Cypriniformes; Cyprinidae
Source: Ensembl